RNAcentral lists this ribosomal RNA (407 nucleotides) under uncultured bacterium. Its description in RNAcentral is "bacterial SSU rRNA". It matches the Rfam family "Bacterial small subunit ribosomal RNA", at positions 8 to 413 of the family's 1533-position model. The record is from RNAcentral.
AGAGUUUGAUCAUGGCUCAGAUUGAACGCUGGCGGCAGGCCUAACACAUGCAAGUCGAGCGGAAACGAGAAUAGCUUGCUAUUCGGCGUCGAGCGGCGGACGGGUGAGUAAUGCCUGGGAAAUUGCCCUGAUGUGGAGGAUAACCAUUGGAAACGAUGGCUAAUACCGCAUAAUAGCUUCGGCUUAAAGAGGGGGACCUUCGGNCCUCUCGCUUCAGGAUAUGCCCAGGUGGGAUUAGCUAGUUGGUGAGGUAAAGGCUCACCAAGGCGACGAUCCCUAGCUGGUCUGAGAGGAUGAUCAGCCACACUGGAACUGAGACACGGUCCAGACUCCUACGNNAGNCANCAGUGGGGAAUAUUGCACAAUGGGCGCAANCCUGAUGCAGCCAUGCCGCGUGUAUGAAGAAG